This 484-nucleotide ribosomal RNA is filed under the name uncultured bacterium. RNAcentral describes it as "partial 16S ribosomal RNA". It matches the Rfam family "Bacterial small subunit ribosomal RNA", at positions 28 to 507 of the family's 1533-position model. The record is from RNAcentral.
AUUGAACGCUGGCGGCAUGCUUUACACAUGCAAGUCGAACGGCAGCGCGGGCUUCGGCCUGGCGGCGAGUGGCGAACGGGUGAGUAAUGCAUCGGAACGUACCCAGUAGUGGGGGAUAGCCCGGCGAAAGCCGGAUUAAUACCGCAUACGACCUGAGGGUGAAAGCGGGGGACCGAAAGGCCUCGCGCUAUUGGAGCGGCCGAUGUCGGAUUAGCUAGUUGGUGGGGUAAAGGCUUACCAAGGCGACGAUCCGUAGCUGGUCUGAGAGGACGACCAGCCACACUGGGACUGAGACACGGCCCAGACUCCUACGGGAGGCAGCAGUGGGGAAUUUUGGACAAUGGGGGCAACCCUGAUCCAGCCAUGCCGCGUGCGGGAAGAAGGCCUUCGGGUUGUAAACCGCUUUUGUUCGGGAAGAAAUCCUCUGGGCUAAUACCCCGGGGGGAUGACGGUACCGGAAGAAUAUGCACCGGCUAACUACGUG